Molecule: ribosomal RNA, 506 nt
Filed under: Chlorarachnion reptans
Lineage: Eukaryota; Cercozoa; Chlorarachniophyceae
Description: partial Eukaryotic large subunit ribosomal RNA
Rfam family: Eukaryotic large subunit ribosomal RNA
Source: RNAcentral
AGGCAAGACUACCCGCUGAACUUAAGCAUAUCAUUAAGCGGAGGAAAAGAAACUAACCAGGAUUCCCUUAGUAACGGCGAGCGAACAGGGAGGAGCCCAACCACAUAUCGCUCGAAUGCGGGGAGCGUUCGCGUUCGGUGCAGUUUGGGGUUAUGGGGGAGGAAGUGGAUGUGGGUUUGCGAAACGAUAGAAGCCUUCGGGUGAAGCGAGCAGCCUUGUGCAAUGGAGUAAUCCACCAGAGAGGGUGACAGUCCCGUAACCCGCACAGUGCUCCAGUUUUCGUUGUAUGAACUUACGGGUUUAUACCCACUUCACGUCCCCCGAGAGUCGAGUUGCUUGAGAGUGCAGCUUGAAGAGGGUGGUACGCCCCAUCUAAGGCUAAAUAUCUACGAGAGACCGAUAGCGAACAAGUACCGUGAGGGAAAGAUGAAAAGAACUUUGGAAAGAGAGUUAAAAAGUACCUGAAAUUGCUAAGGGGAAAGUGAUGGAAAGUAACAUUGGUCCUU